GAUGAACGCUGGCGGCGUGCCUAAUACAUGCAAGUCGAGCGAACGGACGAGAAGCUUGCUUUUCUGAUGUUAGCGGCGGAUGGGUGAGUAACACGUGGAUAACCUACCUAUAAGACUGGGAUAACUUCGGGAAACCGGAGCUAAUACCGGAUAAUAUUUUGAACCGCAUGGUUCAAAAGUGAAAGACGGUCUUGCUGUCACUUAUAGAUGGAUCCGCGCUGCAUUAGCUAGUUGGUAAGGUAACGGCUUACCAAGGCAACGAUGCAUAGCCGACCUGAGAGGGUGAUCGGCCACACUGGAACUGAGACACGGUCCAGACUCCUACGGGAGGCAGCAGUAGGGAAUCUUCCGCAAUGGGCGAAAGCCUGACGGAGCAACGCCGCGUGAGUGAUGAAGGUCUUCGGAUCGUAAAACUCUGUUAUUAGGGAAGAACACAUGUGUAAGUAACUGUGCACAUCUUGACGGUACCUAAUCAGAAAGCCACGGCUAACUACGUG
Molecule: ribosomal RNA, 497 nt
Filed under: uncultured bacterium
Lineage: Bacteria
Description: partial 16S ribosomal RNA
Rfam family: Bacterial small subunit ribosomal RNA
Source: RNAcentral